Long non-coding RNA from Triticum aestivum (bread wheat), 1217 nucleotides. RefSeq lists it as uncharacterized. NCBI's taxonomy places the organism in Eukaryota, Viridiplantae, Streptophyta, Magnoliopsida, Poales, Poaceae. The transcript has 2 exons. The record is from RefSeq and is a predicted model, not a curated record.
CAUCGUGCCUCCCCUUCAGUCCACGUAAUCGUUUCACCCCUGCACGGCGUGCGCCAGUUACUCCUCUCCCCGCCGCGGCCGGCCCCUCCUCUCCCCGCCACGGCAUCGAUGCUCCUCCUCUCCACACCACUACAGGAGCCCGUCCACCUCAUCCUCCUCUUCCCUCCAUGGCGUCGGCUAGCAUCUCCUAUCCCUGUCGUCUAUCGUGUCCCCUUUCUCCACAAGUCCCUCGACAACGUCACCUGCAUCCUCCUCUCCUGCCACGGUGUUGCCGGCCCCUUUAUCUGCCCGACAAUCUCUCGCACCACCGCAUUGACACCAAGCCAGUGCAUCCGCUAGUCUGACAUGGAAUCAGUCGGAUCCGACUGGUCGAUGCAGCAGGGUUCACCGCUCUCUGUCCGGAUGUGGGUAGGAGGGACGACACCCAAGAAAAUGGAAACUCGGAUUUCUCUUCGUGAUUCGUAAGCAGAAGCAAAAGCUUGCAAUUUUGAAUUUUCUAGCCAUCCAGGUACAUCGCUCCAUGACUCUUUCUUAGCAUUUAUAUAUUAUUUAAUUAGUAGUGUUCUUAAUUUCUUGUAUUGUAGAUUUUAUUUGGAUAAUAUCAUCUAACAACGUGAAAAAAGAGAACAUGCAAAUGAGUUUAUUGAGUCCCAGGAAAGUACAUGUACUAAUUCCCCGCAAAUAAAGAAAGUACCUCUGCUAGGGAUUUCGAGGAAUUAGCUUUAGUUAGUUAUUGCUGAAUAACAACCUAGCGAAAAAUUAUAGGAUGAUAAAAUUUUGAGUUGGCACCGAAGGGAAAAACAUAGGUAUUGAUUGGCAAGACCAGCCAAAUUUUAUGUGAAUGAUUAUGGCCCCGGUUUUUCUGAAUAGUCGACAUGAUAAGGCAACAUAAAUUCUAGUGUAAUAAGUAUUCAUUUGCAUUUGAAAUAGAAAAAAUAUAUGUGGGUUUAGGGCCCUUUUUUGUUAUCUUGUCCCGGGCCCUCGAAAUCUUAGGACCGGGUCUGGAUGUUCGGCGAGCCGUCGGCGAGAGUGGGUGUGGCAUGUGGCAUUGUUUGGAUGGGCUUUGUAUUGGGUUUCGUUUGAUUUUUCGUAGUUAACUAGGCAACAACCUUGUUAUGAGAUGGGCAAAGUUUUUGCCUCGUGUUUUGGAAAAGAAAAAAAGUUUGGUGCUGUGAUUUUAAGCAAAGUGAUGUGCUAUAAUAAUUUAGUUAAUUGAA